RNAcentral lists this long non-coding RNA (10029 nucleotides) under Homo sapiens (human). Its description in RNAcentral is "HSALNT0340249". The record is from RNAcentral. Lineage: Eukaryota; Metazoa; Chordata; Mammalia; Primates; Hominidae.
AAUUUAUAUAUUUAUAUAUAUUUAUAUAUGAUUAGAUAACAGUAGAAGAUUAAGAAAACAUCAAUAAAUUAUUUUCUGAUUUGUUUACUUACAAUGAUAAAAGUGACAUUAUCAGGGAUGACUGCUUAGUUAAGCGUUUGAAAAGUAAAGUUAGAUUUCUAUUUAUAAAUUUCAAGACAUGAUUGAAUAUGAACAAUCAAAUCGUGGAAAUACUAAGAAAAUGUGGGUGAAUAUAUAACAUUGGAGUGAGAGAACACUUUUAUGGCAGAAUCUUUAAAGAUUGCUGAGUAUAUAAUGUUUUGACAUAAGUAAUUUAAAGGCAAAUAAUUAGAGCACAAAAGAUAGAAAAGGUAAUAAAUGAAGUCUUAAAUUCAUUCCAGUAAAAAAUAAUUUGUAUCCAGUAAAAAAAAAAAAAAAGCACUCCAAUAGGAAAUGGGUAAUAAAGAUGAAAAAAGGUAGUAUCCAGUAGUUAAAACUACCAUAUUCUUAAGAUGAUAUUUAGUGUUGGUGAAACUGUAGGGGAAUGUAAAACAGAAUAUAGCCUUUCCAGCAAGUAUCAGAUUUUCAAAAUGUGCACAGAUCAUUCACUGUCAUCCUCUUAUUCCUAGAAUACAAAUCAGACUAAUGAACAUGGCUUACAAAAUCCUGAAAGGUUGUGCUCUCGCCUCCUGUCAGUUUGAGCUCCUCCUUAAUUCCUGGUUUAGCUAGGCUGCUCUUCCAAUUCCUGCACCUUCCAGCCCCGGACUUUUUAAAUUGCUGUUCUUUUUGCUGCAAACACACACAGUUUCUUCCUUCUUUGCCUCACUAGCACUAAUGACUCAUCAGAUCUCAGCAUAAUUGCCAAUUCUUUGGGAGGCUUUUCCCUGGAAGCACAGUUUAUUACUUUGCCUUUAACACUGUUGCAGUUUACAUUUAUUUCCUUGUUUCUCUCACCAUAUAGAAGGGAUGAAGUUGGGGAGAACCUGGUAUUUAGUUCAGUCCUGGAUGAGUGCCAGCAGAAGUUUGAAAGGAUGUCAUGCAUGUGUGAGAUUUAGCUUUCCAGAUAUUCAUUGCAUUGUUGGUUACUAGGAAAAAAAUCAGAAUUAGCAGAUGUUCAGCAGAGUGAGCUAUGGCCACAUUUGAACACUGUUUGGGUCCAUGAUUAGGGAUGGCUUAUUUCAAGACUGAUGUAAUUAUUGCAUCCAGAAGAAAGGUCUGGAUUUUAACCUGGGAGCUAAAUAGAUAAACUAUCAAAGCUGGCAGAAAUGCCCCAUGGGUCAGAGCCUAAAGCCAGGUACAGGGUGGGGAGAGGAUGCAGAGUUAAUUGUGAGACUGAUCAGUUUCAUUUCUGUUGGAAGUUGGAGAGAAGAUAAUUGGAGCUGUAGAUCUCACUGGGGGUGGGCAGCAUUGUGGGGACACCCCUCUGGAGGAAAUGAGCAAGUCCCUGCCUCCUAGCAGCAGGGUGGGGCCUAAGGAGAAAGGUCCUGGUUAUAAACUCCUGUGAAGGGAUGUCACAGGUUCUAAGAACACUGAAAUGCGUGAGCCACUGUUAUUUUUCCUACAUUGUUAAUUCCCUUCUGUUAGCCUCACAUUCAUUAAGUCUUUGUCAAGAACUACAGCCCAAUGUGAGCUGUGUUUUGGAUGAUUCAGGGAGGGACUGUGUCCAUACUGGGGCCAGAUGGUACCUAGGUGGCUGGGGUAAUCCAAACACUGGUCUCAAGGCCAGAUUGUGACUAGUAACAACCAGGAUAUAUGUUUCUGGAAUAUAAACACUUCUAGGACUUCUUACAUUAUUAUACAUUACCAUAAAGACUAGACCUACAGUGAGAGGGUCAGAUUUAUGUUAGAUAGGUAAAAGAAAAGGGUGAUCUGGAGGGCUGGAGAAUUGGAGACAUUCACAUCAUACUUUGGUGACAUAAUUAGAUGCCACAGCUCACCAGUAUUGUAACUAUUUUCCUUGGCUCUUUCUACCAUCGCUAUUGAAAUUAGGCUUUUCAAAUUAGUGGCAGGAAAGGCCAUAUUUGGAGCUUCAAAUACACAGUCCCAGUGGCAGUUCUUGCCUCUGUGUUUUUUUGUUGUUGUUGUUUGCUUGUUUGUUUUGAGACGGAGUCUCACUCUAUCGCCCAGGCUGGAGUGCAGUGGCACUAUUUCGGCUCACUGCAACCUCUGCCUCAGCCUCCCAAGUAGCUGGGAUUACAAGCGCCUGCCAACACGCCCAGCUAAUUUUUGUAUUUUUAAUAGAGAUGGGGUUUCACCAUUUUGGCCAGGCUGGUCCUGAACUCCUGACCUCCUGAUCCACCUGCCUCGGCCUCCCAAAGUGCUGGGAUUACAGGCGUGAGCCACUGCGUCCGGCCUUGCCUCACCGUUAAAAGACUACAAUAUGACGUGAUACAUCAGCUUUUUCGAAGUCCAGUGUACGUCAGACCCUGAGGCCUGCAGUAUCUGGAAUGGUGUUGCUGGAUGUGCAAAACUGCCAGGCUCUGGCUUGUGGUGUUCUCAUCUACCAGAUCAUUCCUGGGAGGCCCAAUUUGGCCAGCUGGCUCACCUCUGCCGGUGGUAUUGCUAGCAUUGCACAUUGGAACUGCAGCUUGGGAAAGUGAUAGAAACCAAACACAUGGUGGGUACAAAGCAAGUUUGUUGUAUUUUAUCCACAUUAGUAUUUUGGAUGUUUCAAUAUUUAAACAUUUCAAAAAGCAAAAUCAAUGAUAAUACUUCUUGAAUGUGUUGUGAACAAUGCAAGCCUUUUAUUAAAAAUUAUGGAAUAUUCGAAAGAAAUGUUUUUCUUACAAGAGAGCAGAGAAUAAUUACUCAGGGUUCCUGUGUCAAAGCCUCUAGGGCCCCUUUACUGUCCAGAAUUCUUAGUAAGUGGAAAACCUUUCCCAAGCACAAUGAAGUCUCAACCCUGAUACGGGCAGGACAGCAAAAGACCUGUCUCCUCUUUCCAGAGCAAACCCCAGUGGUUGCACCUGUCCUCCCAUUACACUUUGGGGAUAAACCCUGGAGGCCAUAGUGUAGGGGACCAGUUUCAUGGGUCUUGUUGCCAAAGCUUACUUUUUUGAUCCUACUGCUAAAUUCUGACCCUUCCUCCAAUUGAUCUGCUUUCCAAAAAGAGCAUACCAACACCUGCACAAACCAUUUGAUGUGGUGCAGUAAGCUGUUUCAUCCAAGUGUUCCAAAGCCAUAGGAUGAGCAAGGGGGAAAAACUUAGACCUGUAUAGGAUCUUCCCCCAGGUAGUUACUCUUUCACAGGGGGUGCAUGGGAGACAGGCUGCUGUUGUGCCAUCCUUUCCAUUACAUAAUGAUAACAACUGUUACUUGGAAUGCUUUAAUGCUUGAUGUUAUUUAUGUUUAAAUAUUUGCUGUAUUCCUGGCUCUGUGCUAAAUGCUAUGCCUGCAUCUUAAAAAAUCCUUAAAAUAACUCAAGGUAGGUACCAUUGUUGCUUCCAUUCUCCAGAUGGGACACUAAGACUUUAAGAAGUUAAAUAGCUCACCUGAAAACACACAGCUAGUAAGUAACACAAUGGAGACUUGAACCCAAGUCUAUUCUACUCUAGACCAUGGACUCCAAGAUUAAUUAAUUAUGCAAAUAAGGAAUGUGGAGAGUUCAGCCUUGAGCAAAGGGAGAUUAGCUUGUUUUGCACCAACUCUUCUGCUGAGGAAAGGACAAAAGCCAGAAUAUACAUACCUAUUCAGGGAUCAGAGGGCUGUUGAGAAAGCAAGGGCUAAUAUUCGAGAGACCUACAUUUGAUACUGUUCGUUUCCCCCUCAAGGGACUUGCUAAUUCAAGGGCAGGGGCUGAGAAACUGAACAGAAUUUGUAGAAGACUAAUGCAGACCAAAAAUUAGAGUUGGGGUCCAAGUAGAAGCAGCCCUGGAAAACACCCCAGACUUUCUCGUGGGACCCCAAAGAGCUACUCUUUGAUUAAAGGUGAAUUGGUUAUGGGCCUGUCCUCACAAGGACUGAAGCCCAGCCUCAGAUCUAGUGGAUAGCCAGAAGCAAAAACAAAGCCCCUCUGAAGGAGGACAUGGUCUAAUUUCUCAAAUUUUCUCUAUUAAUUGUUUUCAAAGUCUGCUUAAGAAAUAGGAAUGCAAAAACACAAGAUUCGACCAACAAUGAGAAAGUGAACAAUAGAAACAGACCUCCAGGAAAUUCACGUAGUUAACAUUAUCUGACCGGUGUCUUACAAUAACUAUGAUUAAAAUGUUCAUGAAUUAAAUGACCAAAUGGAACAACUUCAGGAGAGAACUGGACACUAUGUUUAAAAUUCUAGAAUUGAAAAAUAAUAUAACAAUUUAAGAAAUCAGUAGAUGGCUCUGAUAGACACAACUUAAGAGAUAGGUAAUGAAAUGAAAGAUAAGAAAAUAUCCAGACUGGUGCUGGGGGUAAAUAGGAAGACAACUAUUCGAAGAGUUAAUGGUUAAGGUUGUUCCCAAAUUAAUGAAAGACAUUAAGCCACAUAAAUAAGAAAUGCUGUUGACCUCUAAGCAGGAUAAGUUACAAUGAAAGUUAUACUUAAUUACUUCAUAGUAAAACUACUGGAAAACAAAGACUAAUUUUAAAAGUAGCCAGAGGAAAAAUAUAUAUUACUUUCAAAGGAGCAACAGCAAGCCUUGAGAGGGAAUUUUCAGCAGAAGUAAUGAUAGUGGAAAAUGGAAUGGUGUUUUCAAAGAGCUUCAAGAAAAUAAUAGUCAACCUAGAAGACUAUGAGGCAAAAAUAUCCUUCCAAAGACACGUCCAGACAAAGGAAAAUAGAAUUUGCCACCAAUGAAAAGUACCAAAAGUAUGAAAGGAAAGUACUAAAGGGUGUUGUUGGAGCAGAAGGAAAAUGAUCACUGACCACAGCUGGAGGUGCAGAAAGGCAUUGAAAGGCAAUGGAAAGGGUAAGUAUGUGUAUAAAACUAAAUAAAUAUUGAAUGUGUGAAACAACUUUUUACUUUCUGGGGUCUUAAAUAUAUAAAGAACUAAAAUACAUCACCAAGAGAAGCACGUUAAGUGUGGAGGGAGGUAAAUGUAGGGGUCCCCAACAUUUCUGGCACCAGAGACCAGUUUUGUGGAAGAUAAUUUUUUCCCAGACAGUGGGUGGAGGGGUGGAGGGAUUGGGAGCAUGGUGUUGGGAUGACACUGUCCCACCUUAAAUCAUCAGGCAUUAGAUUCUCAUAAGGAGUGCACAACCUAGAUCCCUCACAUGCACAGUUCACAAUAGGGUUAGCGCUCCUAUGAGAAUCUAAUGCUGCUGUUGGUCUGACAGGAGGUGGAGCUCAGGCGGUAAUGCUUGCUGGCUUGCCACCCAUCUCUUGCUGUGCAGCCCAGUUCCUGACAGGCCACUGACCAGUACUGGUUCACAGCCUGGGGACUGUGGACCCCUGGGUAAAUGGAAUUAAAGUAUUCUGAAGUCCUUGAAUUGUCUUGAAAGUGAAAAUGGUGGAGGCACUGAUUUAUAUUAGAAAUUAAUAAAUCAGGGGUACAUGUUUCAGUUUCUACGGUAUUUUGUAAAAGAAUAAGAGUAUGUAAAACUAACAAGAUAACAGAAGGAGAAUAUGAAAUAAAAUAAUCCAAAGGAAGGCAAAAAGAAAAAAAGGCGCAUAGAACAGAUGGGAACAAAUAGAAAACAAACACCCACAUGCAUCAAUCUCUACAUCAAGCAUAUGUGGACUAAAUAUUCCAAUUCAAAGGCAAUAUUAUUAUCACCCUGGAUAAAGAACAAAUAUAAUUCUCUGAGACUUAAAAACAACAUACCUUAAACAAGGAUACAGAAAGAUGGAAAGUAAAAGGAUGGAAAAAGGACUAUCAUGCAAGUAUUAACCAAAAGGAAGCUGGUGUAUUUAGUACACGAAGUGAACUUUCAGGUAUUACCAGAGUAUGAAGGAUAUUUCAUAAUGAUAAAGGGCUUGCUUUACCAGUACUAUACCGAUGGCUGAGGUAUUUGGGCUGUCUGUGAGGCUCAGAUGGGCUGCCUGUGGCCCUGCCUCACCUUGGAGAUGGCCCAGGAAGCUAACUGAGACUUGGAGUUGGUCGAAGAGGAGCCAGACUCUAAAUAUUUGAAGAUUGUGUGCGUAUGUGUGUGUGUGUUUAGGGGAAAACAUGAGAGGUAGAGUACUAUUCAAAAGGACAAGAAGUGGAACAUUUUCUUUUAUAAAUCAAAUAAAUGGUGGCUCUGAGCCUUCCCCCACCUCCUGCCUUUUUUGGGUCCAGAUUGCUAAGAAAUGUUAUUAAUGAUAGCUCACACUUACGACAUUAUUGCCUUCUAAGUGCUUUGUAGGUAUUAAUUUAUUUAAUCCUCACAACAGCCUUAGGAGACAGGCAUCAUCACUACCAUCGCCAUUUUACAGAUGGAAAAACCAGCAACCAUCAGAGCUGGUAUUCAAAAUAAGCCAAUUCAGAUUCCGAGUCCCGGCUCCUAACCAUGGAGUGGCCUCAGGGUUUUAUAGUUUGUCCGGCUCUUUGGAUGAACAUCACACCUCAUGGAGGAGAGUCCCUUCCAUUUUAACGGCUCCAGGUUGUCAUGGAAAUCCUCUGUAUACAAGAGGGUAAGGAGGAGGAUGAGAAGCAAUACAUGCUUAUUGGGACUUUCUAUCAUCCCAGGACUUAUCCAGGUCAUGAAAGACAAAGGCCGAGGAACUGCCCCAGACUGGAGGAGGCGGGAGACAUGGCAGCUGUGAAUGCACCGUGGGUCCUGAACCAGAAAAAGGAGCUCAGUGGGACGAUUGGUAACUUUUUGAUGCAAUCUGUCGGUGAGCUAAUAGUAUUGCUUCGAUGUUAAUUUCUUGGUUUUGAUCACUGUACUAUAACUAUGCAGAGUGUUAACAUUUGGGGAAGCUGGGUAAAGGGUAUGUGGGAAUUCUUUGUGCUAUUUUUGCAACUUUUCUCAUCAAGUUGGAAAUUAUUUCAAAAUUGAAAGCUAAUAAAAAUUACAAAAAUGUUCUUAACAUUAUUAUGGAAUAUUUCAAACAUAUAGAAAAAUAUAGAGAAUAAGCCUGGCCACUUUUACAGGUGGCUCAAAGGUACUGUUGGCACCAGACAGAGGAAUGAAGUUCCUGUAGGAGUUAAGCAUUGAGCUCUGCUGUCUCGCUUUCUGUGUCCAGAGGUGGCUCCUGGUAGUUGAAUUAGACCAUUACAUUUUGGGCAAGAGCUAUUUAAAUUUUUGGCAGCCUCUACUUUAGAAUAAAUCAGCAGACAAUCCACCUCUAUGGCCAUAGUAUUUGCUUAGUAAGAUAACACCUUAUUCCAACGCCCUACUUAGCAAUUCUCUUGGGAGACUUUUUUUUUUUCCAGACCUUGUCUUUUAUUACAGGGAUCUAAUCAUUACUGUCUAAAACAAAAACAUAUAGAUAAAGAUGGCCCCAAUUGCUUAAUGCUGCUUUUGAUAUUUUUCUUUAACUUCUUUAACUUUCAAAAAUGAACUUUUAAUUUUAGAACAGUUUUAGAGUUUCAGAAAAAUUGCAAAGAUGAUACAGAGUUACCAUAUUCUCUGCAGCCAGUUCCCCCUAUAUUAUCAGCUUACCUUAGUAGGGGAUAUUUGUUGCAAUUAAUGGACCAUUAUUGAUACAUCAUGAUUAACUGAAGUCCAUACUUUAUUUGGAUUUCCUUAGUCUAUCUAAUGUCUCUUUUCUGUUCCAGAAUCCCCUCCAGGAUUCCAAGAUAUCACAUUAAAUUUAGAUGUCAUGUCUAUUUAUGCUACUCUAGGGUGUGACAAUUUCUCAGAUUUCUUUGUUUUUGAUGUCCUUGAUAUUUUUGAGGAGUAUGGGUGGAGUAUUUUUAUAGGAUGUCUCUUGAUUUGGGAUUUGUCUGAUAUUUUUCUCAUGAUUAAACUGGGGCUAUGUGUUUUUAGGAGGAAGACAACAGGGGUAAUGUGCCAUUUUCGUCAUAUCAUAUCAAGAAUACAUAGUAUCUCUGGGCAUGGUGGCAGUCCAUAAAAAUUAGCUGGGUGUGGUGGCAGGCUGCUCAGGAGGCUGAGGCAGGGGAAUUGCUUGAACCCAGGAGGCAGAGGCUGCAGUAGGCCAAGACUGUGCCACUGCACUCCAGCCUGGGUGACACAGCGAGACUCCAUCUCAAAAAAGAAACACAUGAUAUUGACCUUCACCACCUGGCCACCUGGUAGUAUUUGUCAGGUUUCCCCACUGUAAAGUAAUUCCCACCUGCCUUCCACACUGAGCUCUUUGGAAGGAAGUCACUGUGUGCAGCCAAGAAGGAGCAGGGAGUUAUGCCUCACUGCUUUGAGGAUGGAGUAUCUACGUAAAUUAUUUGGAAUUCUUCUCUAUGGAGGGAUUUAUCUCUUGCCUCCCAAUUAUUUAUUUAUUCAAUCCAUUUAUUUGUGUUAGUAUAGACUCAUGGAUAUUUAUUUUAUACAUUGGGUUUUAAUCCAAUAUGACUUUAUUUUAUUGCUAAAAUUGUUUCAGCUUUGGCCAUUGGGAGCUCUUUCAGGUGGCUCCUAUGUUCCUAUUUAAUUGCUGUAUAAUAAUUGUACAUAUUAAUGUGGUACAUGUGUCAUUUUGAUCCGAGCAUAUAAUGUGUACUCAAAUCAGGGUAAUUGGGAUAUCCAUCACCUCAAAUUUAUCAUUUCUGUGUGUUGGGAACAUUCCAAAUCUUCCUUUCUUGCUAUUUUGAAAUACACAGUAAGUUCUUGUUAACUAUAGUCAUUGUACUGUGCUAUCAAACACGAGAACUUAUUUCUUUUAUCUAACUGUAUUUUUGUACCCAUUAACCAACUUCUCUUCCUGCCUCCCCCUCACCCUUUCCUGGCCUCUGGUAACCACCAAUCUACUAUCUUCUUGAGAUCCACUUUUUAGCUCUCCCAUGAGAGUGAGAACAUGUGAUAUUUGUGUUUCUGUGCCUGAUUUAUUUCAUUUAACAUAAUGUCUUCCUGUUUCAUUCAUGUUGCUGCAAGUGACAAGAUUUCAUUCCUUUUCAUGGCUGAAUAGUACUUUAUUGUGUCUAUAUGCCACAUUUUUUAAUCCAUUCAUCUGUUGAUGGAUACUUAGGUUGAUUCUACAUUUUUGCUAUUGUGAAUAGUGCUGCAGUAAAUAUGGGAGUGCAGAUAUCUCUGGUAUACUGGUUUCCUUUCUUUUGGAUAGAUACCCAGUAGCAGGAUUCCUGGAUCAUAUGGUGGCUCUAUUUUUAGCUUUCUGAGGAACCUCCACACUGUUUUCCAUAGUGGUUAUACUAAUUUAUAUUUUCACCUAUGUGUACAAGCUUGCCCUUUCUUCAUGGCCUCAAGCAUGUUAUUUUCUGUCUUUUUGAUCAUAGCCAUUUUAACUGGAGUGAGAUGAUAUCUCAUUGUGGUUUUGAUCUGCAUUUCCAUGCUAAUUAGUGAUGUUGUGUUCCUUUGAUAUAUCCCCAUCAUUGAGACUUUUCUUUUGAGCACUUGCUUAUUUCCUGGCAUAAUAAGAUGUUCCAGGCUCAUCUUGUAUAUUUUCUGCUCCAGUGCUAGAAUCAGCCAUUUCUCCAAUGAGCUUUUGGGAGAUAUUUGCUUUCUUGAUUACAGUUAGGAUUUUCUCAUAAGGGAAGUUUGUUGAUGGCCUGCAAACAAAUAGUAAAAUAGUAUGUGAUGUCAUGAAAAUUAAUUGUAUUUUUCCUUCUAGAUUUUGCAUAUAGAAGACGGUAAUUUUAAAAACAGUGAAAGAAGAAAUGUAUCUGAGAAUUCAAUCAGUCAAUAGACUUUAGACAUCUGAAAAGAAAACACAAGAGGUUCGGUUGGUGCAAUGUUCCUUUCUUCCCAGGACUUUCUGGUCUUCAAGGCUUUCUCAUGAGACAGAAGACUGAUGGAUGUAGAAGUUUCUAAGAGGACAGUUACGCUGCCAUGUUUUGAAGCAGGAAGACGUUACCACUUCUCAAAGGUCUUUAAUUGCCUGACCACUGCUUCUCUUUGGAAGGCUGUCAGGGUGAUGGAAUCUCAGAUCACAGCACAGAUAAAAUGGACAAAGAAAGAAAGAUACAAGAAGGAUGUAAAAAUGUCCAUAAUGAACUCAUGUAUCUUGCGGAAACCUCUAAUCUAAUGAGAAUGGAUUUUGUUGAGAAGAUUGUACACCAACAAUUAAUUAUUCAUGGCAGAGA